Trichoplusia ni (cabbage looper) is the source of this 992-nucleotide long non-coding RNA. RefSeq lists it as uncharacterized. The transcript is spliced from 2 exons. Lineage: Eukaryota; Metazoa; Arthropoda; Insecta; Lepidoptera; Noctuidae. The record is from RefSeq and is a predicted model, not a curated record.
ACUUUGAUUACAGUACAAGCUGAUAACAAAGUAUACCUACUUUUAUAAUAAUUAUUUGUACAAGACAUGAUUUGUGAUGAUUGGAGACAGUUGUUUAUUGCUCGCUUUAUGAACCACAGAAGUUUAAUAACGAGAAUUGAUAUUAAGCAGUUACAUGUAUUCUUCUGGGAAAAUAAUGUCAGUUUUAUUUUUUUACAACAACGAGUGUUCUCUCAGUGGUUUAAAACAGUUUAAAGGCUCUUGUCAUUGGCAUUGUGUUCUAAACUGGCUUCGGUUUCGAAGAACAUCUGAAUCUCAGUAUUAUCGUUGUUGAGGUUAAUAAUUCAGGGGUGUUCGAUGUUCCUUAUUAGGGAUGGAGUAUUUACCUAUUAGCAAUAACUAACUCGGAAAGUGAGAGAAGAUCAACAGUGGCUGAUGCGCAGCACCAAGAAUCGAACAUAAAACUUUAAUGAGUUUCGCCUCUCCUUGUUAUCUUAGGCAGGUCGAACAAAGUUUAACGUUGUUCUGUUUAUUGAACAGAACAGUUUGGCCACAACUCAAUAUGAAAUUAUGUUUAAGUUUUAAUUACUGGCAGAACUAACUCCAUUCAAUUCGGAGUUCGGACGAAGCAAACCGUUUUAAUGUAACGCAAGAACGUUUAGAGUAGAUAAUGUAACUCUUACGCCAGUAUUGUUUCGUAGAAUUUGAUAAAUUGUUUGUUUUCAGCUAUAAAAUUUUCCUACGAUUAUCUUUGAUUGUUAGUAUUAUGUCAUACUACUAGUUUUAUCGCUUCUUAUAAUAGUAUGAGUAACAUUAGAUCCGGCAAUACACCUGUAUAGUUUCGAAAUGUAAUUCGCUGAUAAUUUAUUAAAGCCUAAUCUGAAGUAGAUUUGAAUAAAUCUUUGUUUGCGAAUAAAUCGGAUUUAUUAACGAGGUUUUAAAUAAUAAGCUAAUAAGUAAUUGUUCAUUUCUUCGUAUAGAUUACGAGAAUAAAAUUGCUAUAGGUACCUAAA